Molecule: ribosomal RNA, 783 nt
Filed under: Bacillus amyloliquefaciens
Lineage: Bacteria; Bacillati; Bacillota; Bacilli; Caryophanales; Bacillaceae
Description: bacterial SSU rRNA
Rfam family: Bacterial small subunit ribosomal RNA
Source: RNAcentral
UGCAGUCGAGCGGACAGAUGGGAGCUUGCUCCCUGAUGUUAGCGGCGGACGGGUGAGUAACACGUGGGUAACCUGCCUGUAAGACUGGGAUAACUCCGGGAAACCGGGGCUAAUACCGGAUGGUUGUUUGAACCGCAUGGUUCAGACAUAAAAGGUGGCUUCGGCUACCACUUACAGAUGGACCCGCGGCGCAUUAGCUAGUUGGUGAGGUAACGGCUCACCAAGGCAACGAUGCGUAGCCGACCUGAGAGGGUGAUCGGCCACACUGGGACUGAGACACGGCCCAGACUCCUACGGGAGGCAGCAGUAGGGAAUCUUCCGCAAUGGACGAAAGUCUGACGGAGCAACGCCGCGUGAGUGAUGAAGGUUUUCGGAUCGUAAAGCUCUGUUGUUAGGGAAGAACAAGUGCCGUUCAAAUAGGGCGGCACCUUGACGGUACCUAACCAGAAAGCCACGGCUAACUACGUGCCAGCAGCCGCGGUAAUACGUAGGUGGCAAGCGUUGUCCGGAAUUAUUGGGCGUAAAGGGCUCGCAGGCGGUUUCUUAAGUCUGAUGUGAAAGCCCCCGGCUCAACCGGGGAGGGUCAUUGGAAACUGGGGAACUUGAGUGCAGAAGAGGAGAGUGGAAUUCCACGUGUAGCGGUGAAAUGCGUAGAGAUGUGGAGGAACACCAGUGGCGAAGGCGACUCUCUGGUCUGUAACUGACGCUGAGGAGCGAAAGCGUGGGGAGCGAACAGGAUUAGAUACCCUGGUAGUCCACGCCGUAAACGAUGAGUGCUAAGUG